This 495-nucleotide small RNA is filed under the name uncultured fungus. Its description in RNAcentral is "eukaryotic LSU rRNA". The stretch from base 172 to 325 matches the Rfam family "5.8S ribosomal RNA". Lineage: Eukaryota; Fungi. The record is from RNAcentral.
CCGAGUUCAUGCCCUCGCGGGUAGAUCUCCCACCCUAUGUUAUUUAUUACCUUUGUUGCUUUGGCGGGCCGUCAGGCUUCGGUCAGGCUACCGGCUCUGGCUGGUAAGCGCCCGCCAGAGAAUCCCAAACUCUGAAAUGUUAGUGUCGUCCGAGUACUAUCUAAUAGUUAAAACUUUCAACAACGGAUCUCUUGGUUCUGGCAUCGAUGAAGAACGCAGCGAAAUGCGAUAAGUAAUGUGAAUUGCAGAAUUCAGUGAAUCAUCGAAUCUUUGAACGCACAUUGCGCCCCUUGGUAUUCCGAGGGGCAUGCCUGUUCGAGCGUCAUUACACCCCUCAAGCACUGCUUGGUAUUGGGCUCCGCGGCUUACCCCGCAGGCCUUAAAAUCAGUGGCGGCGUCUUCAGGCUCUGAACGUAGUAAAUAUUCCUCGUUACGGAGUCCUGGCGGCGGUAGUCAUCAACCCCCAACUUUCUUAAGUUUGACCUCGGAUCAGGU